Ictidomys tridecemlineatus (thirteen-lined ground squirrel) is the source of this 72-nucleotide non-coding RNA. The record is from Rfam. NCBI's taxonomy places the organism in Eukaryota, Metazoa, Chordata, Mammalia, Rodentia, Sciuridae.
GGAGUUGUGGCUCAGUGGUAGAGUGCUUGCCUGGCAUGUAUGAGGCCCUGGAUUCGAUCCUCAGCACUGCUU